GAUGAACGCUGGCGGCGUGCCUAAUACAUGCAAGUCGAGCGAACAGACGAUGAGCUUGCUCCUCUGACGUUAGCGGCGGACGGGUGAGUAACACGUGGAUAACCUACCUAUAAGACUGGGAUAACUUCGGGAAACCGGAGCUAAUACCGGAUAAUAUAUUGAACCGCAUGGUUCAAUAGUUAAAGACGGUUUUGCUGUCACUUAUAGAUGGAUCCGCGCCGCAUUAGCUAGUUGGUAAGGUAACGGCUUACCAAGGCAACGAUGCGUAGCCGACCUGAGAGGGUGAUCGGCCACACUGGAACUGAGACACGGUCCAGACUCCUACGGGAGGCAGCAGUAGGGAAUCUUCCGCAAUGGGCGAAAGCCUGACGGAGCAACGCCGCGUGAGUGAUGAAGGUCUUCGGAUCGUAAAACUCUGUUAUUAGGGAAGAACAACUGUGUAAGUAACUAUGCACGUCUUGACGGUACCUAAUCAGAAAGCCACGGCUAACUACGUG
Molecule: ribosomal RNA, 497 nt
Filed under: uncultured bacterium
Lineage: Bacteria
Description: partial 16S ribosomal RNA
Rfam family: Bacterial small subunit ribosomal RNA
Source: RNAcentral